This is a long non-coding RNA of Sphaeramia orbicularis (orbiculate cardinalfish), 155 nucleotides long. RefSeq lists it as uncharacterized. The record is from RefSeq and is a predicted model, not a curated record. Lineage: Eukaryota; Metazoa; Chordata; Actinopteri; Kurtiformes; Apogonidae. The transcript is spliced from 2 exons.
AACAUAUUAUUUAAAGGUUCAGUGUGUAAGAUUUAGGAGGAUCUAACACCUGAAGCAGAGUACGACAUUAACUAUUAUGUGGAUGAUGAUCUAAGAAUCAUGUCUCAUAUCCACAGAGGGGAUGGAGUCUGCCAUGUCUAUACUUGGAUUAUUAU